UACCUUCACUGGUCCCUGAAAUGAGGUUG
RNAcentral lists this non-coding RNA (29 nucleotides) under Rattus norvegicus (Norway rat). Lineage: Eukaryota; Metazoa; Chordata; Mammalia; Rodentia; Muridae. The record is from RNAcentral.